RNAcentral lists this ribosomal RNA (1389 nucleotides) under Escherichia coli. Its description in RNAcentral is "partial 23S ribosomal RNA". It matches the Rfam family "Bacterial large subunit ribosomal RNA", at positions 354 to 1746 of the family's 2925-position model. Lineage: Bacteria; Pseudomonadati; Pseudomonadota; Gammaproteobacteria; Enterobacterales; Enterobacteriaceae. The record is from RNAcentral.
GCGAUACAGGGUGACAGCCCCGUACACAAAAAUGCACAUGCUGUGAGCUCGAUGAGUAGGGCGGGACACGUGGUAUCCUGUCUGAAUAUGGGGGGACCAUCCUCCAAGGCUAAAUACUCCUGACUGACCGAUAGUGAACCAGUACCGUGAGGGAAAGGCGAAAAGAACCCCGGCGAGGGGAGUGAAAAAGAACCUGAAACCGUGUACGUACAAGCAGUGGGAGCACAGAGCAAUCUGUGUGACUGCGUACCUUUUGUAUAAUGGGUCAGCGACUUAUAUUCUGUAGCAAGGUUAACCGAAUAGGGGAGCCGAAGGGAAACCGAGUCUUAACUGGGCGUUAAGUUGCAGGGUAUAGACCCGAAACCCGGUGAUCUAGCCAUGGGCAGGUUGAAGGUUGGGUAACACUAACUGGAGGACCGAACCGACUAAUGUUGAAAAAUUAGCGGAUGACUUGUGGCUGGGGGUGAAAGGCCAAUCAAACCGGGAGAUAGCUGGUUCUCCCCGAAAGCUAUUUAGGUAGCGCCUCGUGAAUUCAUCUCCGGGGGUAGAGCACUGUUUCGGCAAGGGGGUCAUCCCGACUUACCAACCCGAUGCAAACUGCGAAUACCGGAGAAUGUUAUCACGGGAGACACACGGCGGGUGCUAACGUCCGUCGUGAAGAGGGAAACAACCCAGACCGCCAGCUAAGGUCCCAAAGUCAUGGUUAAGUGGGAAACGAUGUGGGAAGGCCCAGACAGCCAGGAUGUUGGCUUAGAAGCAGCCAUCAUUUAAAGAAAGCGUAAUAGCUCACUGGUCGAGUCGGCCUGCGCGGAAGAUGUAACGGGGCUAAACCAUGCACCGAAGCUGCGGCAGCGACGCUUAUGCGUUGUUGGGUAGGGGAGCGUUCUGUAAGCCUGUGAAGGUGUACUGUGAGGUAUGCUGGAGGUAUCAGAAGUGCGAAUGCUGACAUAAGUAACGAUAAAGCGGGUGAAAAGCCCGCUCGCCGGAAGACCAAGGGUUCCUGUCCAACGUUAAUCGGGGCAGGGUGAGUCGACCCCUAAGGCGAGGCCGAAAGGCGUAGUCGAUGGGAAACAGGUUAAUAUUCCUGUACUUGGUGUUACUGCGAAGGGGGGACGGAGAAGGCUAUGUUGGCCGGGCGACGGUUGUCCCGGUUUAAGCGUGUAGGCUGGUUUUCCAGGCAAAUCCGGAAAAUCAAGGCUGAGGCGUGAUGACGAGGCACUACGGUGCUGAAGCAACAAAUGCCCUGCUUCCAGGAAAAGCCUCUAAGCAUCAGGUAACAUCAAAUCGUACCCCAAACCGACACAGGUGGUCAGGUAGAGAAUACCAAGGCGCUUGAGAGAACUCGGGUGAAGGAACUAGGCAAAAUGGUGCCGUAACUUCGGGAGAAGG